GACAGAGGAUGCAAACGUUGCUCGGAAUUACUGGGCGUAAAGCGCGCGCAGGCGGUUUCGUAAGUCGGGUGUGAAAGCCCCGGGCUUAACCCGGGAAGUGCAUUCGAUACUGCGGGACUAGAGUACUGGAGAGGAGAGCGGAAUUCCCGGUGUAGAGGUGAAAUUCGUAGAUAUCGGGAGGAACACCAGUGGCGAAGGCGGUCACCUGGCCCAAUACUGACGCUGAGGCGCGAAAGCGUGGGGAGCAAACAGG
Molecule: ribosomal RNA, 253 nt
Filed under: uncultured bacterium
Lineage: Bacteria
Description: partial 16S ribosomal RNA
Rfam family: Bacterial small subunit ribosomal RNA
Source: RNAcentral